RNAcentral lists this non-coding RNA (45 nucleotides) under Trichobilharzia regenti. Lineage: Eukaryota; Metazoa; Platyhelminthes; Trematoda; Strigeidida; Schistosomatidae. The record is from RNAcentral.
AUCCACCUGACGAGUCCCAAACAGGACGAAACGCGCAUCCUGGAU